UGGCGGACGGGUGAGUAACGCGUGGGUAACCUGCCUUACACAGGGGGAUAACACCUGGAAACAGGUGCUAAUACCGCAUAAGCGCACAGGGCCGCAUGGCCCGGUGUGAAAAACUCCGGUGGUGUAAGAUGGACCCGCGUCUGAUUAGCUUGUUGGCGGGGUAGAGGCCCACCAAGGCGACGAUCAGUAGCCGGCCUGAGAGGGUGGACGGCCACAUUGGGACUGAGACACGGCCCAGACUCCUACGGAAGGCAGCAG
RNAcentral lists this ribosomal RNA (258 nucleotides) under uncultured bacterium. RNAcentral's name for it is "partial 16S ribosomal RNA". It matches the Rfam family "Bacterial small subunit ribosomal RNA", at positions 96 to 354 of the family's 1533-position model. The record is from RNAcentral.